Nothoprocta perdicaria is the source of this 131-nucleotide long non-coding RNA. RefSeq lists it as uncharacterized. NCBI's taxonomy places the organism in Eukaryota, Metazoa, Chordata, Aves, Tinamiformes, Tinamidae. The record is from RefSeq and is a predicted model, not a curated record. The transcript has 2 exons.
CAUCAUUGCCCUGUUCUUUUAGGGGGAACAGUGGGGAAAAAGCAAGGACAGAGAGCAAAGCAGCACUCUGAUAUAAAAAUAAAUAAAUAGAAAUGCAGGUUUAGCCCAGCGUGGAGGAUGUUCUGGCAGCC